AAGUGUUCGGAUCGCUGUGAUGCGGGCGGUUCGCCGCCCGUGACUCUGCGAGAAGUCCAUUGAACCUUAUCAUUUAGAGGAAGGAGAAGUCGUAACAAGGUUUCCGUAGGUGAACCUGCGGAAGGAUCAUUGUCGAGACCGAAAUAUAUCGAGCGAUUCGGAGAACCUGUGAACGAGCGAUGGCACUCGCCGUCGCGUAACAGCUGUCCUGUUCGUUGGCCUCGUCGGGGCCACGAUUUAGGGCGGAUGAAACUCAAACCGGCGCAGCUACGCGCCAAGGGAAUACAAAAGACACGAGCCCUCAUCGGGUUCGAUGGCGUGGAGUGCUGUCGCACACCACAUGGAUCAAAAUGACUCUCGGCAAUGGAUAUCUCGGCUCUCGCAUCGAUGAAGAGCGCAGCGAAAUGCGAUACGUGGUGCGAAUUGCAGAAUCCCGCGAACCAUCGAGAAUUUGAACGCAAGUUGCGCCCGAGGCCAGCUGGCCAAGGGCACGUCCGCCUGGGCGUCAAGCGUUGCGUCGCUCCGUGCCAGCUCCAUCCCACCCAACGGGUUUGCAUGCAGAUUGGUCGGAUGUGCAGAGUGGCUCGUCGUGCCCACGGGCGUGGCGGGCUGAAGAGCGGGUGAUCGUCUCGUUGGCCACGAACAACAAGGGGUGGAUGAAAAUUGUGCCUGUGUUGUAUCGUGCUGGCCUGAGAAGAGAUUAUACCCUUCGAAUGAUCCCAGCCCAAGCGUUGAUCCAAGGACGACGGCUUGGAAUGCGACCCCAGGAUGGGCGAGGCCACCCGCUGAGUUUAAGCAUAUCAAUAAGCGGAGGAGAAGAACUUACAAGGAUUCCCCUAGUAACGGCGAGCGAACCGGGGAAUUCUAAAAU
RNAcentral lists this ribosomal RNA (871 nucleotides) under Andinia aff. dielsii AK5429. RNAcentral describes it as "eukaryotic LSU rRNA". The stretch from base 353 to 508 matches the Rfam family "5.8S ribosomal RNA". Lineage: Eukaryota; Viridiplantae; Streptophyta; Magnoliopsida; Asparagales; Orchidaceae. The record is from RNAcentral.